Molecule: transfer RNA, 92 nt
Filed under: Candidatus Jordarchaeia archaeon
Lineage: Archaea; Promethearchaeati; Candidatus Jordarchaeia
Description: tRNA-Arg
Rfam family: tRNA
About the family: Transfer RNA (tRNA) molecules are approximately 80 nucleotides in length.
Source: RNAcentral
GGGCACGUCGCCUAGCCAGGAUUUCAGAAAGCCUGAAAGGGCGCCGGCCCUCUAAGCCGGUUUUAUCAGGGGUUCAAGUCCCCUCGUGCCCG